Molecule: long non-coding RNA, 779 nt
Organism: Homo sapiens (human)
Lineage: Eukaryota; Metazoa; Chordata; Mammalia; Primates; Hominidae
Product: long intergenic non-protein coding RNA 649
Source: Ensembl
GCAAGAUGCUCUGGGGUCCACUGAGCUCAGCUGCUGAGGCUCAGCUCUUUCUGUGGCUUCUUCUUGAGCAGCCUGUUGACCAAGAUGUGGCCCAUGCCACUCCCUAUAUUCGGAGUCCAUUUUCUGAUGCCCUCUCUCAGCUCUUCGCCUGCACUCAUCUGUGACUGCCUGGUACUGCUAGGAAGCCUCUGUUUGUGUCUCAUCUCUCCAGGUGGACUGGAGCUCCUGGGGGUCCUUUCCUUUGUGGGGGUUCUCAAUAUCAGAAUGGAGUCGCUUAUGUCAAACCCUAACAAAAUGGAGGUGGAGGUCACGAAUUGGAGCCUAUAUGCGUGCCUGUAACAGGACUUGUCACAAGGAAUCCCUGCACAUAUGUGUAUGAUGGGGACUAUGCCAGGAACUCCUCACAUAUGGAGGAUUCGAGAUAGACUGGGAGCUCCAUGAGGUCCGAGACAACCUGAAGACGCCCAGCUCAGCAGAGACUGGCUACGGCAAUCACUCAGUAACUAUUUGUUGAAUUGGACAUAAUAGAAGAGCUGAAGAAUUUUAAACAAGUCACCAUCAGUGCAGUGGAUUCCUCAAAGCAAACCUGGAAAUCUCGGCAUGAGUUGGAUUUAAGGCAGUACAUUUUCAGCUCCUGAAAAUUUGAACAGUUUCUCAAGAGAACAACUUGAAACAGAAAGGCAAGGAUGUAGAUGUGGUUGUAGAAGAUGAUGUCUGCGGCCACCAAACUGUCCACUGUGAAGACAAACCAUGCAUGUUUAGUAGGCAGUGGCUCCUCU